RNAcentral lists this ribosomal RNA (845 nucleotides) under uncultured cyanobacterium. RNAcentral's name for it is "bacterial SSU rRNA". It matches the Rfam family "Bacterial small subunit ribosomal RNA", at positions 34 to 916 of the family's 1533-position model. Lineage: Bacteria; Bacillati; Cyanobacteriota. The record is from RNAcentral.
GGGUGGCCGGAUGCUUACCAUGCAGUUGUACGAAGGCUUUAAAAGUUUUAGUAGCGGACGGGUGAGUAACGCGUGAGAAUUUACCUUUAGGAAGAGAACAACAGUUAGAAAUGAUUGCUAAUGCUCUAUAUGCUUUAUAAAGUGAAAUGGAUAUACUCCGCCUGAAGAAAAGCUCGCGUCUGAUUAGCUAGUUGGUAAGGUAAAAGCUUACCAAGGCGACGAUCAGUAGCUGGUUUGAGAGGAUGAUCAGCCACACUGGAACUGAGACACGGUCCAGACUCUUACGGGAGGCAGCAGUGGGGAAUUUUCUGCAAUGGGCGAAAGCCUGACAGAGCAAUACCGCGUGAGGGAUGAAGGCCCGUGGGUCGUAAACCUCUUUUUUCAAGGAGGAAAAUUUGACGUGUACUUGAAGAAUAAGCAUCGGCUAACUCUGUGCCAGCAGCCGCGGUAAGACAGAGGAUGCAAGUGUUAUCCGGAAUUACUGGGCGUAAAGCGUCUGUAGGUGGUUUGAUAAGUCAAUUGUUAAAUCUUGAUGCUUAACUUCAAAACUGCAAUUGAAACUAUUUAACUUGAGUAUGGUAGAGGUAAAAGGAAUUUUCAGUGGAGCGGUGAAAUGCGUAGAUAUUGGAAAGAACACCGAUGGCGAAAGCAUUUUACUGGGCCAUAACUGACACUCAGAGACGAAAGCUAGGGUAGCAAAUGGGAUUAGAUACCCCAGUAGUCCUAGCAGUAAACUAUGGAUACUAGAUGUUGCCCGUAUCAACCCGUGCAGUGUCAAAGCUAACGCGUUAAGUAUCCCGCCUGGGAAGUAUGCUCGCAAGAGUGAAACUCAAAGGAAUUGACGG